Molecule: ribosomal RNA, 468 nt
Filed under: uncultured bacterium
Lineage: Bacteria
Description: partial 16S ribosomal RNA
Rfam family: Bacterial small subunit ribosomal RNA
Source: RNAcentral
GACGAACGCUGGCGGCGUGCUUAACACAUGCAAGUCGAACGGAAAGGCCCUGCUUUUGUGGGGUGCUCGAGUGGCGAACGGGUGAGUAACACGUGAGUAACCUGCCCUUGACUUUGGGAUAACUUCAGGAAACUGGGGCUAAUACCGGAUAGGAGCUCCUGCUGCAUGGUGGGGGUUGGAAAGUUUCGGCGGUUGGGGAUGGACUCGCGGCUUAUCAGCUUGUUGGUGGGGUAGUGGCUUACCAAGGCUUUGACGGGUAGCCGGCCUGAGAGGGUGACCGGCGCCAUGGGGACUGGGAGACGGUCCGGACUACUCGGGGAGGGAGAAGUGGGGAAUGUUGCGCAAGGGGGCGAAGCCUGAUGCGGCAACGCCGCGUGCGGGAGGAGGGCGAUGGGGUUGGAAAAAGCAUCCGCCUGUGACGAAGCGUGAGUGACGGUAAUGGGUAAAGAAGCAACGGCUAACUACGUG